RNAcentral lists this long non-coding RNA (1663 nucleotides) under Paramuricea clavata. Lineage: Eukaryota; Metazoa; Cnidaria; Anthozoa; Malacalcyonacea; Plexauridae. The record is from RNAcentral.
GUAAUUUGACAGUAGAGGAGAUAAGAUAUGCAGAGAGUGCAUUGAUUAAGGAUGCUCAAGUCAGUUUGAGGAAUAAGAAAGAUUUCCCGCAUUUAGUAAAACAGUUAGGUUUGGUUGAUAGAGAUGGGAUUUUAAAAUGUAAGGGUAGGCUCUCUAAUUCAGAUUUAGAAGAAGCAGCUAGGGAACCAAUUAUUCUCCCGAAGGAGCAUUGGCUAACAGAGUUGAUUAUAUCCGCAUGCCAUAAACGAGUUCAUCAUUGCGGGCUCAGAGCUACUCUGGCAGAAUUGAGAGGUAAGUAUUGGGUGCCACGAGGACGUCAAAUAGUGAAGAAGGUGAUUGGUAAGUGUGUUGUCUGUAAGAGACAUGGGGGUAAGCCUUAUGGAAAACCUGAUGAGGCAGGUUUACCGGACUUCAGGGUGCGGGAGUCACCACCAUUUGCUAAAGUUGGGGUUGACUUUGCUGGUCCGUUGUAUGCAAAGGAGGGUGGUAAAAUGGUGAAGGUGUACAUAGCGUUGUUCACGUGUUGUGUCACGAGGGCAGUUCACUUGGAUUUGGUAAGAAAUCUUAGUGCGCCUAGUUUCUUGAACUGUUUGAGGAGAUUUGCAAGCAGGCGAGGGGCACCGACGCUUAUUGUUUCAGACAAUGCUAAAACUUUUAAGGCGGCACAGAAAGCAGUGAAGAAGUUGUACGAGAGCGGGAAUGUGAGAGCUUAUAUGCAAGAUAAUUGUGUGAAAUGGCAGUUUAAUUUAGAGAGAGCGCCUUGGUGGGGAGGAUUCUUUGAAAGGUUGGUUGGUUUGGUAAAGAGGUGUUUACGUAAGGUGCUGGGGAAUGCCAAGUUGACAUUCGAAGAACUGUUGACAACUUUAGUUGAGGUUGAAGGCACGUUGAAUUCGAGACCGUUAACCUACAUUUACGAUGAGGUUGAAAACGAUGUGCUAACACCGAAUCAUUUGAUCUUUGGUCGUAGAUUGAGUUUAAUUCCAGACGAGACUAGUUACAAAAUUGAAGAGAAUGAUGCGACAAAGGUUAAGCGUAGGUUUAGGCAUCUAGCGAAACUGCGAGUUCACUUUUGGGAGAGAUGGAGAAAAGAAUACUUGACGAAUUUAAGAGAGCAUCAUAGAAGUAAGAGGGAGAAGAGGGAUAGUAAAGUGAAGAAGGGAGAUGUAGUUUUAGUAUUUGACGAGAACCUUAAGAGAGGAUUUUGUAAGUUAGGUAGGAUUGAGAGUUUAAUUGUCGGUAGAGAUGAAGUGGUUCGAGGAGCGAAAGUGAGAGUGAUGACUAAAGGAAAUCCAGUAUAUCUUAAUAGACCAGUUCAGAAAUUGUAUCCUGUAGAGUUAAAUGAGAACGGAAGCAGUACGGAAGUAAGAAAGGAUAAUAAAGUUGAAAAUGAAGUGGAUGGGUAUGAUAACCAGAAAGGAAAGACGAAAAUUAAUGAGAAAGGAAAGACGGAAAUGAAUGAGAAAGACGGAGAGAAGGGUAAGGUGGAAAGCUGUGUCCAUAGUAAUAGACCUAGAAGAGCAGCAGCUUUGGAUGCACGUUGGAGAACACAAGUCAUGUUUGACCCUUACAGGUUCAAAGGGGGGAGUGUGUAGAAUAAUUUGUAACAUUAUACUAUUGAUAACGCCGUAGGAGACCAAACAAUGGGUGAUUUAGUUGAUUGACG